Molecule: long non-coding RNA, 933 nt
Filed under: Vulpes vulpes (red fox)
Lineage: Eukaryota; Metazoa; Chordata; Mammalia; Carnivora; Canidae
Description: lncRNA (ENSVVUG00000024105.1)
Source: RNAcentral
CUUCUGUCAAGGCCGGUGUCUCCUCGGAUCCGGGUCCCCCUCUGUACACGGGAGGGGCCUGGCUGUCACAAUGACACCCUUUUGGGUGUGCGGGGAAAACACGGCUGAAUGUUAAAUAAACACGCGCUAAUUACCCUGAGAAUAUUUAUUGAGGUUUUCCCACGUUGUAAUAAGAAAUUAUUGAAACAUAUAUCACCCACCGAGCUGUUAAUCAUUGGUAAAUAUAUUUUAAAUACAGCAGUCCAUUAGUAUUUUAAUUUAGCCUGUCUCCUGGAGAAUAUGUGCUGUAUGAGACAAAUGUCUCCAGCUCCAGAGCCAAGGGAAAAAUUUCCUCACCUAGUUAAUCUUUAUGUUUUCCUCUCAGGGAGGAAAUCCCGGCUGCACCAGCAAAAGAAAUGUUCCCUGGGGUCCAGUAUUGAUGGCCUAAUUCUCAAAAUCCUGGAAUGGUGUAUCAGUUCACUAAUACUUGUACAGUGGAGGAAAUGUUUCCUCUUCAGACAAAGCGCUGAUCAGUUCUUGAAAUCCACACGGAGCUACAGCCCUGUAUUCACUCUCCGGAAAGAAAUUCACCCAGACUCCACAGUGAGCUGCUGGACCAUAAGAGUCAGUACAUUAAGCUCGUUUCUCAGAGGAUUUACUGAAUUGGACUAAAAUCCAUUCCAGCAAUGGAAUCACAGAUGGGAACAUGGAUGCCCAUCCAGGCACUGCAGCUCCAAGUCUCCCUUGCAAUUAGGUGGGACUGUGGCGAAGCUCUUUUCCAGUGGAGUAUGAACAGGUGUGAUGUGAGCCACUUUCAGUAUUGACCCACAAAACCUCCACAGGCCAUGCUUCAGUGCUCCUUCUCACCUCCCCUGGUAAGAGUGAAAAUAAUUAGACAGACCUUGGUAGCAUGUGUGUGUGUUUUUUAAAAUAUAUAUUUAUUUAUUUUAGAGG